RNAcentral lists this microRNA precursor (82 nucleotides) under Physcomitrium patens. RNAcentral describes it as "Physcomitrella patens miR167 stem-loop (ppt-MIR167)". Its record names the gene ppt-MIR167. Lineage: Eukaryota; Viridiplantae; Streptophyta; Bryopsida; Funariales; Funariaceae. The record is from miRBase by way of RNAcentral.
ACCAAAAGUUGGAAGCUGCCAGCAUGAUCCUUUAACUUUUCUAGAGGGAAAGAUCAGAUCAUCUGGCUGCUUUCAUCCUGUU